This 253-nucleotide ribosomal RNA is filed under the name uncultured bacterium. Its description in RNAcentral is "partial 16S ribosomal RNA". It matches the Rfam family "Bacterial small subunit ribosomal RNA", at positions 524 to 776 of the family's 1533-position model. The record is from RNAcentral.
UACGUAGGGUGCGAGCGUUGUCCGGAAUUAUUGGGCGUAAAGAGCUUGUAGGCGGUUUGUCGCGUCUGCUGUGAAAAUCCGGGGCUCAACCCCGGACUUGCAGUGGGUACGGGCAGACUGGAGUUCGGUAGGGGAGACUGGAAUUCCUGGUGUAGCGGUGAAAUGCGCAGAUAUCAGGAGGAACACCGGUGGCGAAGGCGGGUCUCUGGGCCGAUACUGACGCUGAGGAGCGAAAGCGUGGGGAGCGAACAGG